GACGAACGCUGGCGGCGUGCUUAACACAUGCAAGUCGAACGGAAAGGCCCUGCUUUUGUGGGGUGCUCGAGUGGCGAACGGGUGAGUAACACGUGAGUAACCUGCCCUUGACUUUGGGAUAACUUCAGGAAACUGGGGCUAAUACCGGAUAGGAGCUCCUGCUGCAUGGUGGGGGUUGGAAAGUUUCGGCGGUUGGGGAUGGACUCGCGGCUUAUCAGCUUGUUGGUGGGGUAGUGGCUUACCAAGGCUUUGACGGGUAGCCGGCCUGAGAGGGUGACCGGCCACAUUGGGACUGAGAUACGGCCCAGACUCCUACGGGAGGCAGCAGUGGGGAAUAUUGCACAAUGGGCGGAAGCCUGAUGCAGCAACGCCGCGUGCGGGAUGACGGCCUUCGGGUUGUAAACCGCUUUCGCCUGUGACGAAGCGUGAGUGACGGUAAUGGGUAAAGAAGCACCGGCUAACUACGUGCCAGCAGCCGCGGUGAUACGUAGGGUGCGAGCGUUGUCCGGAUUUAUUGGGCGUAAAGGGCUCGUAGGUGGUUGAUCGCGUCGGAAGUGUAAUCUUGGGGCUUAACCCUGAGCGUGCUUUCGAUACGGGUUGACUUGAGGAAGGUAGGGGAGAAUGGAAUUCCUGGUGGAGCGGUGGAAUGCGCAGAUAUCAGGAGGAACACCAGUGGCGAAGGCGGUUCUCUGGGGCCUUUCCUGACGCUGAGGAGCGAAAGCGUGGGGAGCGAACAGGCUUAGAUACCCUGGUAGUCCACGCUGUAAACGGUGGGUACUAGGUGUGGGGUCCAUUCCACGGGUUCCGUGCCGUAGCUAACGCUUUAAGUACCCCGCCUGGGGAGUACGGCCGCAAGGCUAAAACUCAAAGGAAUUGACGGGGCCCCGCACAAGCGGCGGAGCAUGCGGAUUAAUUCGAUGCAACGCGUAGAACCUUACCUGGGUUUGACAUGGAUCGGGAGUGCUCAGAGAUGGGUGUGCCUCUUUUGGGGUCGGUUCACAGGUGGUGCAUGCCUGUCGUCAGCUCGUGUCGUGAGAUGUUGGGUUAAGUCCCGCAACGAGCGCAACCCUUGUUCACUGUUGCCAGCACGUUAUGGUGGGGACUCAGUGGAGACCGCCGGGGUCAACUCGGAGGAAGGUGGGGAUGGCGUCAAGUCAUCAUGCCCCUUAUGUCCAGGGCUUCACGCAUGCCACAAUGGCUGGUACAGAGAGUGGCGAGCCUGUGAGGGUGAGCGAAUCUCGGAAAGCCGGUCUCAGUUCGGAUUGGGGUCUGCAACUCGACCUCAUGAAGUCGGAGUCGUUAGUAAUCGCAGAUCAGCAACGCUGCGGUGAAUACGUUCCCGGG
RNAcentral lists this ribosomal RNA (1344 nucleotides) under uncultured bacterium. RNAcentral's name for it is "16S ribosomal RNA". It matches the Rfam family "Bacterial small subunit ribosomal RNA", at positions 28 to 1378 of the family's 1533-position model. The record is from RNAcentral.